GCGGGUGUAGUUCAGUGGUAGAACACCGGCCUUCCAAGCCGGAUGCGUGGGUUCGAUUCCCAUCACCCGCUCCA
RNAcentral lists this transfer RNA (74 nucleotides) under Planifilum fulgidum. RNAcentral's name for it is "tRNA_Gly_TCC". It matches the Rfam family "tRNA". From Rfam's summary of the family: Transfer RNA (tRNA) molecules are approximately 80 nucleotides in length. Their secondary structure includes four short double-helical elements and three loops (D, anti-codon, and T loops). RNAcentral also lists the same sequence under 8 other names. Lineage: Bacteria; Bacillati; Bacillota; Bacilli; Caryophanales; Thermoactinomycetaceae. The record is from RNAcentral.